AUAUAAUGGCCUUUUGGUUAUGAUCAAGGGCAGGUUCGGUUCUCCUCAGUUUAAUAUCUGGUAUUUCCAGUAUAAGGGGACAAGAUCUUUGGCAGCUGGAGUCAAGAGAGGAGCUUGCUUCAUUCGCUCCACACAUUUCUUGGAUCAAUUAAGUACAAUCUUU
Gadus morhua (Atlantic cod) is the source of this 163-nucleotide small nuclear RNA. Its record names the gene U2. It matches the Rfam family "U2 spliceosomal RNA". Rfam says of the family: U2 is a small nuclear RNA (snRNA) component of the spliceosome (involved in pre-mRNA splicing). NCBI's taxonomy places the organism in Eukaryota, Metazoa, Chordata, Actinopteri, Gadiformes, Gadidae. The record is from Ensembl.